GGGGGUAUAGCUCAGCUGGGAGAGCAGCAGACUGAAGCAGCUGAUCCUCUCGCGAUUCUAUUCUGAAGGUCCCGCGUUCGAUCCGCGGUACCCCCA
Molecule: non-coding RNA, 96 nt
Organism: Paramarasmius palmivorus
Lineage: Eukaryota; Fungi; Basidiomycota; Agaricomycetes; Agaricales; Marasmiaceae
Source: the annotation of a GenBank genome assembly